RNAcentral lists this long non-coding RNA (757 nucleotides) under Monodelphis domestica (gray short-tailed opossum). RNAcentral's name for it is "lncRNA (ENSMODG00000045162.1)". Lineage: Eukaryota; Metazoa; Chordata; Mammalia; Didelphimorphia; Didelphidae. The record is from RNAcentral.
GACUGCAGUCAGACCAUUGGAGAGAAUCAUAAAGGGCAAGGGAAAGAAGGAAGGACAGGUCACAUGUUAAGAGAGGAAAAGGAGAUAAAGCCAGGAUGGCUUCAGCUACUGACUCCUUGUGGAAACAAAGCUUCUAUUAGCCCAUAGAAAAUGAGAAGUCUCCGAGGAUACUGAAAAAGGUUAUCAUGUGUUCAAGUCUUUAGACUCAAGGAUCAUAAAAGACUAUUGAGAGAUGAAAAGAAGAAGAAACCAUGAAAUGGAUGAUGUGGUCCCUAGGAGAUUCUGGAGCUGAAAGCAUGGUAUUCUUAAAGAGGGAGGAAGCAACAGAGUCCUUCCUAAGGAUGGAAAUGAAUGGGGUUAGGAUCAAUUGGAAGCUAAAAUAUGGAAUGAAAAAUAAAACAUCAUUUAUGCCAACUAUUCAAUGAUGCAGAUUUUCCUCAAUACCAAACUCCCCAUCCAGUCAUCAGAAUUUUGCUCCUGAGAAAGAGAAGAUCGUGAAUGAUAACAGAGAUGAUCUACAAACAAAAUCAAUACAAGAAUCAGCAGAGAAAUUCUCAUACCAGGAGAAAAUCUUUUCUUCAAAUAUCUCAGAUAAAAGUUUGAUAUCCAAGAUUUUAGAAGGGCAGAGGGAAUAGAAAACUGGCCUUGGAAUGAGAAAGACUGAGAUUCAAGCAUUGACCCUGAUAGGUAUCAGUUGUGAGACCUUAGUGUUCCAGACAACUAUGACUAUAAAUGGCAAAGAUGUUUUCUCAUCUAG